GACAAGUCACGUGAGCGACCGGUUGCCCUGGGGACGCGCUCCCGGACCUCCGAGCAGCAGCAACCGGCUGGGCCUCGCUCUAGAGAUCGGCAGGAUCCAGAUGCGGGAUUAUGGCUGUGUCCACCCGCUUAUCCAUUGGCACCUCCGAUGCCUUGUACGAGUCGGAGAAGAACACAGGGGAGCCCGAGAACACCUAUAUUCUGAGGCCCGUUUUCCAGCAAAGGUUUAGACCCUCUGUGGUUAAAGACUGCAUCCAUGCCGUGCUCAAGGAAGAACUGGCAAGUGCUGAAUAUUCUCCAGAUGAAAUGCCUCAUCUCACAAAACAUCUGUCAGAAACCAUUAAGGAUAAACUAAAAGAAUUGGGAUAUGACCGGUAUAAAAUGGUGGUGCAAGUAGUGAUUGGAGAACAGAGGGGUGAAGGAGUAUUCAUGGCUGCUCGAUGCUUCUGGGAUGCAGACACUGACAACUACACUCAUGAUGUCUUCAUGAACAUAUGCUGUUGUUAGAACACACAAACCCAGCCACAGAAGCGGAGUGCUGCCCACCAAACAGCUGGCUUCUGGCUCAUAAUUAGGACAGCUUAUUCUGUGUUGUAGCAGCAUUUGGUUGUUUCUACUACUGAAUCUUUGGAAAGAAUGACUGUGACUAUGAAGAAACCUCGACUUUUUUAUAUUGUUAAGUAUCCUGAUCAAAUAAAAAUAAGUUGGUACUUUGGCACCUAAAA
Non-coding RNA from Cricetulus griseus (Chinese hamster), 724 nucleotides. The record is from RefSeq and is a predicted model, not a curated record. Lineage: Eukaryota; Metazoa; Chordata; Mammalia; Rodentia; Cricetidae.